Molecule: ribosomal RNA, 253 nt
Filed under: uncultured bacterium
Lineage: Bacteria
Description: partial 16S ribosomal RNA
Rfam family: Bacterial small subunit ribosomal RNA
Source: RNAcentral
UACGUAGGGUGCGAGCGUUAAUCGGAAUUACUGGGCGUAAAGCGUGCGCAGGCGGUUUUGUAAGCCAGACGUGAAAUCCCCGGGCUUAACCUGGGAAUGGCAUUUGGGACUGCAAGGCUUGAGUGCGGCAGAGGAGACUGGAAUUCCCGGUGUAGCAGUGAAAUGCGUAGAUAUCGGGAGGAAUACCGAUGGCGAAGGCAGGUCUCUGGGCUGACACUGACGCUCAUGCACGAAAGCGUGGGGAGCAAACAGG